This 497-nucleotide ribosomal RNA is filed under the name uncultured bacterium. RNAcentral's name for it is "partial 16S ribosomal RNA". It matches the Rfam family "Bacterial small subunit ribosomal RNA", at positions 28 to 507 of the family's 1533-position model. The record is from RNAcentral.
GAUGAACGCUGGCGGCGUGCCUAAUACAUGCAAGUCGAGCGAACGGACGAGAAGCUUGCUUCUCUGAUGUUAGCGGCGGACGGGUGAGUAACACGUGGAUAACCUACCUAUAAGACUGGGAUAACGUCGGGAAACCGGAGCUAAUACCGGAUGAUAUUUUGAACCGCAUGGUUCAAAAGUGAAAGACGGUCUUGCUGUCACUUAUAGAUGGAUCCGCGCUGCAUUAGCUAGUUGGUAAGGUAACGGCUUACCAAGGCAACGAUGCAUAGCCGACCUGAGAGGGUGAUCGGCCACACUGGAACUGAGACACGGUCCAGACUCCUACGGGAGGCAGCAGUAGGGAAUCUUCCGCAAUGGGCGAAAGCCUGACGGAGCAACGCCGCGUGAGUGAUGAAGGUCUUCGGAUCGUAAAACUCUGUUAUUAGGGAAGAACAUAUGUGUAAGUAACUGUGCACAUCUUGACGGUACCUAAUCAGAAAGCCACGGCUAACUACGUG